RNAcentral lists this ribosomal RNA (1527 nucleotides) under uncultured bacterium. RNAcentral describes it as "partial 16S ribosomal RNA". It matches the Rfam family "Bacterial small subunit ribosomal RNA". The record is from RNAcentral.
GAGAGUUUGAUUCUGGCUCAGGACGAACGCUGGCGGCGUGCCUAACACAUGCAAGUCGAGCGGAGACAUGACCGGAAGUUUUCGGAUGGAAGGUAAUGUUUUAGCGGCGGACGGGUGAGUAACGCGUGAGAAACCUGUCCUUCACAGCGGGAUAAGACGGCGAAAGCUGUUCUAAUACCGCAUGAGACCAGGGUACCGCAUGGUACAGGGGUUAAAGGAGCAAUCCGGUGAAGGGUGGUCUCGCGUCCGAUUAGAUAGUUGGCGGGGUAACGGCCCACCAAGUCGACGAUCGGUAGCCGACCUGAGAGGGUGAUCGGCCACAUUGGGACUGAGACACGGCCCAGACUCCUACGGGAGGCAGCAGUGGGGAAUAUUGGGCAAUGGGGGGAACCCUGACCCAGCAACGCCGCGUGGAGGAAGAAGGUUUUCGGAUUGUAAACUCCUGUCCUUGGUGAAGAGGAAGAGACGGUAGCCAAGGAGGAAGCCCCGGCUAACUACGUGCCAGCAGCCGCGGUAAUACGUAGGGGGCAAGCGUUGUCCGGAAUGAUUGGGCGUAAAGGGCGCGUAGGCGGCUCGGUAAGUUCGGAGUGAAAUUCCUGUUUUCAAGGUAGGAAUGGCUCUGGAUACUGUCGGGCUUGAGUGCAGGAGAGGUCAGUGGAAUUCCCAGUGUAGCGGUGAAAUGCGUAGAGAUUGGGAAGAACACCAGUGGCGAAGGCGACUGACUGGACUGUAACUGACGCUGAGGCGCGAAAGUGUGGGGAGCAAACAGGAUUAGAUACCCUGGUAGUCCACACUGUAAACGAUGAAUGCUAGGUGUAGGGGGUAUCGACCCCUUCUGUGCCGCAGUUAACACAAUAAGCAUUCCGCCUGGGGAGUACGGCCGCAAGGUUGAAACUCAAAGGAAUUGACGGGGGCCCGCACAAGCAGCGGAGCAUGUGGUUUAAUUCGACGCAACGCGAAGAACCUUACCAGGUCUUGACAUCCAGUAAAAGCCAUAGAGAUAUGGUGUGAGCUAGCUCGUACUGAGACAGGUGGUGCAUGGUUGUCGUCAGCUCGUGUCGUGAGAUGUUGGGUUAAGUCCCGCAACGAGCGCAACCCCUAUUGUUAGUUGCCAUCAUUAAGUUGGGCACUCUAGCGAGACUGCCGGUAAUAAACCGGAGGAAGGUGGGGAUGACGUCAAAUCAUCAUGCCCCUUGUGACCUGGGCUACACACGUGCUACAAUGGCUGGUACAACGAGUCGCAAGUCGGUGACGACAAGCUAAUCUCUUAAAGCCAGUCUCAGUUCGGAUUGUAGGCUGCAACUCGCCUACAUGAAGUCGGAAUCGCUAGUAAUCGCGGAUCAGCACGCCGCGGUGAAUACGUUCCCGGGCCUUGUACACACCGCCCGUCACACCACGAGAGUUUGUAACACCCGAAGUCGGUGAGGUAACCUUUUAGGAGCCAGCCGCCUAAGGUGGGAUAGAUGAUUGGGGUGAAGUCGUAACAAGGUAGCCGUAUCGGAAGGUGCGGCUGGAUCACCUCCUUUC